CUCUUAUUUAAUCUUAAAGCGUCUCACAUCAUCCUACUUUACUCCAAAUCAUCGCCUCUAUGUCAAUGUCAUAACAGAAAACUUUCCCCCUAUUUUAAGAUCCUAUUAAAACCUGCUAGAGAUAACCUAUUAUUUCCCUCCACCCACAAUUAAAUCAGGUGCCGGCUCUGAGCUUGGCAGCCAGCGAGCUGCUGGGUCCGUGGAGCAGCGCCAGGCAGAGGGGCCGGCAGGAUUUCCCGAGGGGGCAUCAGUUGCAGAGCUUCUAGAAAGGUGAGGCUGAGUGAGGUUGAGGAGCUGUCUUGGAAUUCAAGAGGUUUACACAGCACUGCUGACCGCAAGUGGACCCUGCCUGGCUCUUUCUUCCAGAGAGGCAAUCUGGAAGAAGCCAAGACCUUCAAGAUGGGAAACAAUGUAACCAAACUACAGUACUCUGAAAUGGUGAUGAGCUCCAGUGCCUGGACCUGAAUCCCAGCUCUGCUGCUUCUUAGGUUUUUUCUUAUUGUUCAGUUGCUAAGUCAUGUCUGACUCGGUGAUCCCAUGGACUGUAUCCUGCCAGGCUUCUCUGUCCAUGGAAUCCUCCAGUCCUUCAGGUUGACAGGACCACAGCCCAGGCCACAGUCUAUGGGUGAUACCCCUGUGUCCUUGUCACACUUGGCACUGGUGUCACUAAACAGAAGGACUGAUGCUGAGGCUGAAGCUGCAGUACCUUGGCCACCUGAUGAGAAGAACUGA
This 732-nucleotide long non-coding RNA is filed under the name Bos grunniens (domestic yak). Its description in RNAcentral is "lncRNA (ENSBGRG00000004976.1)". The record is from RNAcentral. Lineage: Eukaryota; Metazoa; Chordata; Mammalia; Artiodactyla; Bovidae.